AACGCACAUUGCGCCCGCUGGUAUUCCGGCGGGCAUGCCCGUUCGAGCGUCAUUUUAAUUCCUUCCCAGGCAAUAGAGAGCUUCUGUUUCUACAGAGGUUUCUGCCAGGGGUGUUGGCACCUAUCGCCGCCUAGGCGACCAGAGCCCAAAUAUAGUGGCGGACGCGCAAGCGGCCCCUAGCGCAGUAGAAAACAAAACUUCGCUUAGGAGGCUCGUAGCAGCGGAUCACAGCCUAAACGCAAAAAACAUUUUUGUUUUUGCAACAAAAACUUGACCUCGGAUCGGGUAGGACUACCCGCUGAACUUAA
This 308-nucleotide unclassified non-coding RNA is filed under the name uncultured fungus. Its description in RNAcentral is "partial contains 5.8S ribosomal RNA, internal transcribed spacer 2, and large subunit ribosomal RNA". The record is from RNAcentral. Lineage: Eukaryota; Fungi.